ACACUGCCGGAAGAGCCAAUUCGAAGCUCUGGCUCCUGCCUCCGGCUUCUGCCUUGUGAAUGCGGCGUCUGGCCCGGCGGGGACGUGCGGAAGUUGAGGCUGGGCUGACAGGAGCUCAAGAUGGUGUACAAUGCAUGCCUUCCCCUUAUAUUUUCCCACAAAAUCAGUCCUGUGCAGUAUUUUGAGAUCUUAUCUGCCAAGACUUCUAAAGCAAUUACAAAUACUGUAGUAAAGUGGAGAGCAGACACCCUUGCCUCGUUUCUUUACUUAUUAACAAACUUGAAGAGAGUAUUGCAUCUGCUGUAAUCUUUGUUGUUUACCAUUGAUAUAUGUUCUCCACCAAAGAUUUAAAUUCUUCUCCUGGAUUCAUUUUGCUGAGGACCUCUAACAAGAAAGUCCACUCCAAAUUGUCAAAGGCUUUUUCUGCAUCCAAAAAAUUACUACAACUGCCUUCUUUUUCUUGUUGUUAAUAUAUUCUAAUGCAUUUAUUGGGAAUCUAAUGUCCAUUAGCUUCCUUUUGGGAAUACAACCCGUUUCAUCUGUAUGUAUAUUUUUGGAAAUACAUUUCCUCGUAUGUUCAGUUAGUACAUUUAUGAUGAUUUCUAUCCAGGUUUGGAUCAGUUUCACGCUUGCUCAUCUUCAACCUGAGGAUCUGGCAGCAUAUUCAGUGGGUAAUGUAUUCUAACAAUACUGGAUUUCUACAGUUCUGAUUUCUUUAUGAGUGUUGCAAUGUAUGAAUCACAAUACAUAUGCCUGGCUAUAAGUUCAUUGUACUAAAGUAAUGACAACAAAACUUGCCUCCUCUUCCCCAUCUAAUGCCAAGAAACUUACAUAAUUCUGUAAAAUUCUCUUUUUCUUUGUUUCGACAUACCCAAUCAAUAUGAAGCUGUCUUUUAUUGAGUUAGAAACUUCAACUUACUAAUAGUAAUUAGUAUAACUUACUACCUGAUCUUAUUCACUGGAAGUUAAAUGUAAGAUUUGUAUUCCAUGCUGAAUUAUAAUUCUUCCCAGAGUUUCUAGCACUGUACUUGCUUGUUUAAAUGCCAGUGCAAAUGUUUUACUUACAAUAUUUCCCCUGUAAAAUGCCCUAUCUGGAGUGUUUCUACACAGUUACAUUUUAGGUUAGCAAUUCUGUCUAUUAUAUGGCUGUAUUGGUUAUUACACUACUGAAAAGGCUAGUGGGACUACCCCUAUAAACAAAAUCUGGGAGCUUUAUUUAUCUCAACUGUGGAAUAAUCCUUAAACAUUGGAUAUGAAAGUUCCACUCUCCUCACAGUAGCUACCGUGAUUCAUCUACAUUAUUUUGAUGUGAACAGAGAUGUUUCAUCAUCUUUUUGGAAUGGUACUUAAGAUUAGUUCUAUGUUACCUUAAGGACUUUAUCAAUUCUUUGCUGUUUUUUAAAGUUGUUUAGUACAAAAGCUGUG
Python bivittatus (Burmese python) is the source of this 1425-nucleotide long non-coding RNA. RefSeq lists it as uncharacterized. The record is from RefSeq and is a predicted model, not a curated record. Lineage: Eukaryota; Metazoa; Chordata; Lepidosauria; Squamata; Pythonidae.